Taeniopygia guttata (zebra finch) is the source of this 377-nucleotide non-coding RNA. Lineage: Eukaryota; Metazoa; Chordata; Aves; Passeriformes; Estrildidae. The record is from RefSeq and is a predicted model, not a curated record.
UGAGUUUUCUUUCCCAGGGAAAAAUGGCAUUGUUUGUGCUCAGGGGCCUGUGGCCCUGAGCGGGCGGCUGACUGCAAAAAAUCCAAAUGGCGAUACACUCCAGGACCUCAAUGGCCUCUUUCAAGUGAAGGACCCAAAACUGAGUGCAGUAUUUGAGGUGCCUCAGCUGUGCCAAGUACAGAGGUGGUGAUGCCAGCCCCACCCACCCCCAGGUGCCCUUCUCUACCUCUUUUCACCUUCCCUCCAGGCCAGAUGAAUGCACUUCUUCACUGAUGCUUGGCUGCUACCCUACAUGAGGAAGAAAAACACAUUAAGCAAUUCCAACAUUUUGAACAACAAUGAAGACAAAUGCUAAUAAAGAAUUGCAUUUAUUUUUA